GCCUGCCAGGCUCCCCCCUUCCCAGCUGGAGCUGCAGCGACAGCGGCGGUGACCCUGCGCCCGGCUAUUGUCCGCGGGGCCAGUGCGGCCCCUGCUCACUGAUGGAGCCCCGGACAGGUCGGGGAUUUUCUCGGAGUCUUCUGGUGCCUAGAAUUUCUCCUUAUGGCAUUGACUCCCGCAUGCAAUCAUCUGAGUCCUCUUCAUUGAGGAAGACUCGAGCCCUCAAGAUAACAGAUAAUAUUGAAAACUUUAAAAGUCCAAAAUUCAUGCACCAGUUAAAUCUCUGACUUCUUUACUGUGUGUUUUCUUCUCUCCAAAAUGUACCUUAUACAAUAUCUUAAUGACCUCUUAAAUCAUUGCAGCACUGUAAGUAACUUGUACAUAGCCUGUUCACAUAGAUUCAGUGUACUGGGAUUGCUUUACACCUGCCUUUUAAUCACUGUGGAAUAUAAAUCCUUGCUUUUCAGAACCCUCCUAUACUAUGGAUUACUGUUCACUUUGACAAAUCAGUUUGUGCUAGGAUGUAAUGUGAGUGUAGAGAACACGUAUGCUUGAAUAGUUUGUGAGCAUGAUGAGACAGAAGACAAGUGUUGGCGGUUGCUCCAAACACUGGAUGGUUCAAGUUCUGCCUCUGAAACCUCAGCCCAUGUUGCAUGACAGGACUUCCAUACUAGGACUGUUCGUGUGAACAGCACCAGCAACUUGGCAUUUGCUGGGUGCAUUUCAAAUAAAAAAUACAUGAAUGGUAUUACUAUAGCCAUUUAUCUGCAUCCAUCCACUCAAAGAGUACUAAGUGCUCCUAGAGCAAGUCUAGUUCUCACUUCUACCCUGCUCUAUUGCAGCAGACCUCUCCAGGUCUCUCCAGACUGCUCCUUGGUCCCACUUGAAUUUCUAUGCUGAGGGCAUAGUGCUUAAAGGAAGUGAAAAAAAAAGUGUAAAAAUCCAACAAUACAUUAAUUCAUCUUAUUUUUCUCAGCACCACCGCAUGGAGUUCUAAAAAACUGAAUAACAGUGCAGUAGCACUACACCAAGCCAAGAAGAAAUAUUUCAGUCACUGCCAUCCCCCAUCUUACUUGCCCCUAAAGUAACUUGGUGAAGUAUGGGACAGGUGGUUUCAGGAAGUAAAAUACUCCAUGCCUCUGCACAUGUUUGGUGAUCUGUUGAAAUAGCAGCUGUCUUGCUUUCAUCUCAGCCAUAAUGAGAAGGCAAUUAUUACAGCCUUAGUUAUCACUAUAGGCACAUAUCUGGUGCAUUCAGGACAAGGAAAUGCACAUCGGGAUUACAUGACAGCAGUGAGCCUCCAGCCUGCCUCUCAAGUACAGAAAACCCCUCCAGAGUUUUGGAACUUCUCUUCUGAUAGUCCUCCUGGUGACUCCAGGUGACCACCCACAGAUGUCUAAUGAUAGAGGCUCCCACAGGCGGGGAGGCUGUGGAGGACACAGGCACAAGAAGCAGCUUGUCCGGAGCAGGGAAUGCCUGAGGCAGAGCUCAAAGCACACAGUCAGCAGCUGGACUAAUUCAGGCACAGAUCAAGGCCAUUGCUACUGACCUCAGUCAGACUAAAUUUGCAGAACUCCUUCCAGAAUCUUUAGCUUUUUCUGAUGGCAAUAUUUAGGCCUUUAAAUUUGAUAGAUUAAAUACAAAAUAAAUAUGUAUUUUAACAUAUUUUACUGAGUCAAGUUGGAGGUUUAUGCCAAGGAAAAGUUGAAAUCACAGUGAGAAUCUUCACAAAGAGGUAAAAUUGUGUUGCAUGUAUGUAUGUAUGUUACUAAAUGAGAGGGGAGAGGUUAGACAAGUCCCUGCCUUUGACAGGUUUCUGGCAGCAGACAGCAGCUUUAUUGAGGUGGCCAGCACCCCAAAACCCCCUCUCACUCACAAGUUCUUAAUAAUGACAGAUCAGGCCUAUAGCAACAUGAAUCAUUUAUUGAGGAGACCAAGGAAAGCAGACAUAAGACUUGAAAGAGACUUCUUACUACACAGGAUAACACAAAAAGAACUACUUGUAGAUAAAAAUGCAGUGCAUGAUAAUAAAGGUACCUAAGUUACAGCUAGUGAAGAAAUAGUAUAGAUUAAGAGUCAAUGUCACUUACCAAUGCAUGACAGUGGUGUGAAAUCUCCUAAUUUCUCCCAAUCCCAGAGAAGCAUCUUGAUGUGAGUGUCUCCACGUCAAGGAAAUUUUUAAUGUGCUUUCUGAGGGGAAGGUGCCUGACAGCCAAGAGGAUUUCUGGUUUUGGAUUUCUGGUUUUGUUUGUUGUUGCUGCCAUUUUUGUUGUUUGUUUACCUUGUUAUACAUACAAACUAGUAAAGAACUGUUACUCCUUUUCCGAUAUCUUUGCCUGA
Molecule: long non-coding RNA, 2340 nt
Organism: Catharus ustulatus (Swainson's thrush)
Lineage: Eukaryota; Metazoa; Chordata; Aves; Passeriformes; Turdidae
Exons: 3
Source: RefSeq, a predicted model, not a curated record